GAUAGACUUAUUAUGUUCUACGUUUUGUUUUGUGAAGAGUCAUCUUGAGCUAAUGUAUGAAUAUGAGGCACAAGGGCACCUGAAUCAGCUCCCUGCACCCCGAGGUUUCUGAUACCGGAUUGCCUUCAGAUGGAUCCACCAUGGGAAAAGAAGUUCUUGUGUUACAACAACACAAAAUUCAACCAAGUAUCCCUGUUUCUCCCUCAGAGCCAAAGUGGAACAAGAAACCUCUUCCCUCUCCUGAAACAAUUCAAAGUGCUCCCACACGACCAGUGUUACUGUGAAUCUAUACAUGACAGUAGCAACUAUGUGGUUCUUCUACAUUGUAAUACCUGCUGGAAAUGCCUCAUAUUCGGACAUGUAAUCUGUGUAACAAUUGAUGCUUCUUCAUGCCGACACCCUUAACAAAUAUGCAUAAUAAACUUGUAUUGAUUGUAAUCUAAACUCUAAUA
Molecule: long non-coding RNA, 452 nt
Filed under: Monodelphis domestica (gray short-tailed opossum)
Lineage: Eukaryota; Metazoa; Chordata; Mammalia; Didelphimorphia; Didelphidae
Description: lncRNA (ENSMODG00000044867.1)
Source: RNAcentral